Molecule: ribosomal RNA, 328 nt
Filed under: uncultured Glomus
Lineage: Eukaryota; Fungi; Glomeromycota; Glomeromycetes; Glomerales; Glomeraceae
Description: SSU rRNA
Rfam family: Eukaryotic small subunit ribosomal RNA
Source: RNAcentral
AGCAGCCGCGGUAAUUCCAGCUCCAAUAGCGUAUAUUAAAGUUGUUGCGGUUAAAAAGCUCGUAGUUGGAUUUCGGGAUCAAUACGUCGGUCGUGCUUUCGGGUACGUACUGGCGUCAUUGGUUUCUCCUUUCUGACGAACCAUGAUGUCAUUAAUUUGGUGUUAUGGGGAGUUAGGACUGUUACUUUGAAAAAUUGAGUGUUUAAAGCAAGCUAACGCUUGAAUACAUUAGCAUGGAAUAAUGAAUAGGACGUUCGAUCCUAUUUUGUUGGUUCUAGGAUUGACGUAAUGAUUAAUAGGGAUAGUUGGGGCAUUAGUAUUCAAUUGU